Ruditapes philippinarum (Manila clam) is the source of this 4096-nucleotide long non-coding RNA. RefSeq lists it as uncharacterized. The transcript has 4 exons. The record is from RefSeq and is a predicted model, not a curated record. NCBI's taxonomy places the organism in Eukaryota, Metazoa, Mollusca, Bivalvia, Venerida, Veneridae.
UGAAGGCAAUUUGUUACGGUGGUCUCCUCAAUCCUCUGAGUUGUUAUAUGCAUGUCCACUUAAUGAACAGAAUUUGUUAUAUGAUAGUACUAUCAGUAACCAAAGAAAGUUUAGGUCGUUAUCUUCAAACCACUUCCCCCUCAUCACUUUGGUUCCGAAUCCCGCUAGGGACAUUUGAUAGCUUCGUGUGUAGAAGCUAUCCAAUUACCUUAUGAAAUAUUUGAGCUUCUACUUAGGUGCACGUGAUACAUGGAGGGACACCAGUAAAGGUGGAAAGAUACCAUUUGACCUCUUCAGUGUUGGUGCGACGCAAAACCCAAUUACAAUUUUACGCUUUGUAUCUUCACGCAUUUUAUAAAGUAUACAUAAAAUGAAAUAAAAAAGAUAAGAUCCGGUAAUUUUUGUUAUACUUUUCAGUUAAGAUACAAUUAGCCCUCAUGCAUAUAUACUGUGCAGUAUAGAUCAAAAUUACGUCCCCUGCAACGCAAUUAUUAUUUAAAGAGUGACGUCCCUUGUCACGCAUGACGUCGUUACUUAGAGACGUCGUUUACGUCAACCAGAAUCAGUAUAGCUUUUGAAAACGCUACCAAAAGAAAACAUACUUAAAAUGACUCGAAUUACGAAUGGAAGACUUUAAAGAGCCAAAGUCUCCCAAAACUCAAGGAGAGACAGGACAAUCUGUCCAUGGCCAAGGUGAGAUAGUCAUCCCAUAGCCAAGACAAAUUAAAGUCUUCUUUAUGCCAAUGCAAGCCUUCUCAUAACCAAGUUGUGGCGGUUAUUGUCACACCUAAGGAUGUUACCCUUCAAAUUCUAGACGAGACCAUGUUGCCCAGAAAUGAUUGUUACACCAAGAGCUCCAGCAACUGCCAAAGUGAAACAAAUUCGAAAGGUAAAACGAAACGUCCGAGAAAAUGGGAGGUGUUCUCCGGAGGGAAUAAAUUCUGUUGUAAAGGAAGAUAUAUCCGUGGACCUGAUAGCACCGGAUACCUGAUCACUCUCGCCUUGAUCUUGAUCAUAGGAGGGCUGUUUUUCAGCUUCGACAGCGUGUAUCUAUCAAAAAGAGUAAGCCCAGUGGUUCCAGCUUUAGGGGUGCCCAUCUUUCUUCUUAUGCUGGUAUUGUUUAACGUGACCGCUUUUACUGACCCCGGAAUUUUACCACGAGCCACCGCUUACGAUAUCGAAUCAAAGCACUGAAUGUACUGAUGGGGAGGCUAUGAGAGAAUGUUUCAGACUUAUAGUUUCUUUUCUUUUUGCUUAAAAUAUGCUACCAAAAUAAAAAGAUAUGCACAUUGCGCUAUUUAUCCUUACUGUUGUGUUCAACCAUUCAUAUUAUAUAUGGUUAAUGAGGUUGACUAUUCAUUUUGUUAAUAUUCCAGAACAUUUAAUUAAGGUCUACAUUCGGACUGUUAAUCAUGCAAAUUUUGAAAAACCUAAACUGUCAAUAAUAAAUGACAUACCAGCAAGUAUGACGACUGUUCAUUAUCAGAUAACAAUAACAUUUUACAACUGACGGUUCCGUAUCAAAAUAUUUUUGGACUGUUCAUCAUAAAUAUUUUAUGUCAUUUUAAUAUUAUUGACUGAUAAUAACAGCUGCAAGUGAUGCAACAUUUUUAUUGAACAUAAAAAUUAUACACGUUUAGAUGUACCAUAAUUGAGAUCAAUAAGAUACUGUCUUGUGAUGAGUAUUAACAUUCAUGCUCUACGGACAGAAGGUUGUCUUCUUCAGAAGCAAAUCUUGAAUAAAAUCACGUUUCAGAAAAUUAAUCCCAUUUCAUUACUGACGGCGUCGGAUAAUAUUAAAGCUAAAUAUUUCUUGAAAAAAAUACAUCUCUGCAAAGCUUAUUCAAAACUGAAUCAACCUAAGUGAAAAUUGAUCAGGAAGUUAUCAGGAAAACAGCCUACUUAUCCCUUGUUAGAUCCACUCUUGAAUACAGCUCAAUUGUAUGGGACCCAUUCCUACAGAAAGAUAUAGACAAGCUUGAGUCGAUCCAACGGAAGGCUGCUAGAUUUAUUUCUGGAGAUUACAAAUCAAGAGAUCAAGGCUGCGUUACCAAGAUGUUGAAGCAACUUGAGCUAUCUCCAUUACAAGACAGAAGGAAAAUGGCACGAUUGACAUUCUUCUUCAAGGUGGCUGAGGGGCUGGUGCCAGCCAUGCCCACCGAUACCUAUCUGACCCCUAUUCGUGGUAAACGCCUAAUUAAACCUAAGAAACUAGACAAUUACAUAACUAAAAACAUUGUAGAAAAACAAGCUAUAAACCAUAAAAAGUGCUAUAAACCUAUUAUCUCAAAAAGUGACCAAUUUGAACAUUCAUUCUUUCCUAAGACUAUUGGUGAUUGGAAUAAUUUAGACAGUGCCGUUGUGUGCGCAGAGACAGUACAGAGCUUUAAAACAGCUCUCCAACAGUGCUACUAAAUUACUUAGCUCCUCUCUCCCGCUGCGUACAUACCGGAAGGUUCUGCAGUGUACACAAUCAGAUUCAGAUUCAGAUUCAGUUAUAUCUUCUUUUUUUACCGCCAACACUCAACACUCAACCAACUUAUGGUAGUUAAUCGAUAGAUUCUACGUGUAUUUUUAAACCUCACUAGCUUGAAAUAUAUACUGCGGAAAAUCUGUUGUUAACAGGGUGUGCGGUUAUUACGUAGGGUUUUCCCUGUCGACCAUUUCCCGCAAAUAGAUGAGAACAUCGAAGCCGUCAGUGCUAUGAAUGGUGUUAUAAAUGGCGUGUUUUGGAAGUUUUUGUUGAAACUUCUCCAAAUACCUCCAGAGGCGUGCACGUCGCGGAGAAGGCACACGGAAGGUCAUAGUCAAGUCAUCAUAAGUACCAGAGGUGAUUGGUUGACCUGUCGUGACUUACUCUGGAGGUUUGGCGCUAAUAUAUGCCGUUUUUGUUGUCGUCAGUCAGAAAGUUGAUGCCUUGACGGUAUUGUCGUCUCCUUUACCACCAAAGAACGAAGAAUGGGCUUCCAGGAAGAAUCUGCUUGAAAAAGACGUCCCAGAUGCUAUAAUCUCGGACAUAUGGUUAUUCCGGCGCCGAGUAUAAAUAAACUUAAAACACACACACUUUUGUUGAAAACAAAACAACAACACAUUUUCUGUAGUAAUUUUUCAAGUGUUGUAAAAUGAAUAAGAAAUUCCUCUUAUGCCGCCCAUUAUUUUUAGAACACAACCAUAAAAGUUCUUUUUUUUAUUUUUCAAAUAAACAUUUAUCACUUCAGCGCGAGCAAAUUUCGGUUUCAAAUUAAAGUUUCGUAAGAUAUGUUAAUGACUUCCCGAUGCUCGACUGUAAGUAAUGUGUAUAUGUAUGCGGUUUUUUUUGUUUUUGUUCUUUUGUUUUUUAAUUAAAGCUUCUUAUUCUUUAAUAUUUUUUAUGUAUCUCAUAAUCUGUAUUGAAAAAUUGAAUUUUAUUACAAAUGGACAAUCAAAUUAUGAUGUAUGCCCUAGAAUUGAAUAAACUUUCUAAUUACACAAUACGGGGUCAUACUGAUCUUUGCGUCUUUCUCUGAAAUAAUUAUUUCCUUGUUAAAACAUAUUUGACCACAUAUUUCUGUCAAUUAACUGUUCACUUUACUUCCGAUUUUGUUGUACGGAAACACAUGUUUCUAUUUGUGUUUUCUAAUCAAUUCGAAUCUAUAAUCAGUUUAAUGGGAUCACCACCGGGUAAACGACUACAAGGUACUUUGGUCAUGUUUUUUACCACAAAUAUUUGAAUGUUUCUAUUGGGAUUAAAAUGAGCAUAGUUAAUUAAACAACUGUUUGUAUAAAUUCCUGACCUGUCUAAUUCUAAUUAUGAGAUUAGUGAAUAUAUAAGACUUUCACUACAAAAUAUUCCUAAACAAAAGAGCACAUGUUUAAAUUUAUUCCUAUACAAAUAAAAGAUCAGAGUAGGGAUCUGUCAAUUACCAAAGAUACUUUUAUGUUAAAAGUUUGAUUAAUGAAUUAUGUAAGAUGAAAAUAUAAGUAUUGCUUUUUUUAUUUUGCUAAUGUAAAAUGUAAUAUUGUGCUGGAAUUUUGUCGGAGGUCCUUAGGGGUUUUGUAGUUAAAUAGUUUUUUUUUCGGCGAUAAUGGUUAAAGAAUAUAAUUUUUAAACUAUAUG